UACGAAGGGGGCUAGCGUUGUUCGGAAUUACUGGGCGUAAAGCGCGCGCAGGCGGUCUUCCAAGUCAGUGGUGAAAGCCCGGAGCUCAACUCCGGAACUGCCAUUGAAACUGUUAGACUUGAGGAUGAGAGAGGUGAGUGGAAUUCCCAGUGUAGAGGUGAAAUUCGUAGAUAUUGGGAAGAACACCAGUGGCGAAGGCGGCUCACUGGUCCGGUACUGACGCUGAGGUGCGAAAGCGUGGGGAGCAAACAGG
Molecule: ribosomal RNA, 253 nt
Filed under: uncultured bacterium
Lineage: Bacteria
Description: partial 16S ribosomal RNA
Rfam family: Bacterial small subunit ribosomal RNA
Source: RNAcentral